GAUGAACGCUGGCGGCGUGCUUAACACAUGCAAGUCGAACGAGGAAUUUUAAAUGAGACUUCGGUGGAUUUUGGGAUUCCGAGUGGCGGACGGGUGAGUAACGCGUGGGCAACCUACCCUGUACAGGGGGACAACAGCUGGAAACGGCUGCUAAUACCGCAUAAGCGCACGGUAUCGCAUGAUACAGUGUGAAAAACUCCGGUGGUACAGGAUGGGCCCGCGUUGGAUUAGGUAGUUGGUGGGGUAACGGCCUACCAAGCCGACGAUCCAUAGCCGACCUGAGAGGGUGACCGGCCACAUUGGGACUGAGACACGGCCCAAACUCCUACGGGAGGCAGCAGUGGGGAAUAUUGCACAAUGGGGGAAACCCUGAUGCAGCGACGCCGCGUGAGCGAAGAAGUAUUUCGGUAUGUAAAGCUCUAUCAGCAGGGAAGAAAAUGACGGUAC
RNAcentral lists this ribosomal RNA (447 nucleotides) under uncultured bacterium. RNAcentral's name for it is "bacterial SSU rRNA". It matches the Rfam family "Bacterial small subunit ribosomal RNA", at positions 28 to 478 of the family's 1533-position model. The record is from RNAcentral.